RNAcentral lists this ribosomal RNA (1760 nucleotides) under human gut metagenome. RNAcentral describes it as "bacterial LSU rRNA". It matches the Rfam family "Bacterial large subunit ribosomal RNA", at positions 828 to 2571 of the family's 2925-position model. The record is from RNAcentral.
UCCAAUCGAACUCGGAGAUAGCUGGUUCUCCCCGAAAUAGCUUUAGGGCUAGCCUGAGGUAGUAAGUAUAGGCGGUAGAGCACUGAUCGGGCUAGGGGCCGUAAAGGUUACCGAACCCUGUCAAACUCCGAAUGGAUAUACUGUAGAGCCUUGGAGUCAGACUACGAGUGAUAAGAUCCGUGGUCAAAAGGGAAACAGCCCAGACCACCAGCUAAGGUCCCCAAUGUCGUACUAAGUGGAAAAGGAUGUGGGGUUUCAUAAACAACCAGGAUGUUGGCUCAGAAGCAGCCACCAUUUAAAGAGUGCGUAAUAGCUCACUGGUCGAGAGACCCUGCGCCGAAGAUUCCCGGGGCUAAAGUACGAAACCGAAGCUGUGGCUGUAUACGUAAAGUAUACGGGGUAGGGGAGCGUUCCCAUAGGGUAGAAGUCGAACUGGAAGGUUCGGUGGACUUGUGGGAAGUGAGAAUGUUGGUAUGAGUAGCGAAAAGAAAGGUGAGAAUCCUUUCCACCGAAAGCAUAAGGAUUCCUGAGCAACGAUCGUCGUCUCAGGGUAAGUCGGGACCUAAUCCGAGGCAGAGAGCGUAGGAGAUGGACAACUGGUUGAUAUUCCAGUACCGGUAGUAAUUGUUUGAGCAAUGGAGUGACACAGAAGGGCAGGCAAGCAUGCGAAUGGAAGAGCAUGUGUAAGCGUGUAGGGUGGUGCAUAGGCAAAUCCGUGCACUGAAAGCCUGAGGCGUGAUGCGGAGUGAGCAGAGAUGCGAGCGAAGUUGUUGACCCCACACUGUCGAGAAAAGCUUCUAGUGAGAGAGCUACCGCCCGUACCGUAAACCGACACAGGUAUGCGGGGAGAGAAUCCUAAGGUGCGCGGGAGAACCCUCGUUAAGGAACUCGGCAAAAUGUACCCGUAACUUCGGGAUAAGGGUAGCCACUGUUGUGAAGUCCCAUGCGGAUGGAGCAUAGAGUGGUCGCAGAGAAGAGGCCCAAGCGACUGUUUACCAUAAACACAGGUGCCUGCUAAAGCGAAAGCUGACGUAUAGGUGCUGACACCUGCCCAGUGCCGGAAGGUUAAGGAAGGAUGUUCGGAUUAGUCCAAAGCAUUCGACUGAAGCCCCGGUGAACGGCGGCCGUAACUAUAACGGUCCUAAGGUAGCGAAAUUCCUUGUCGGGUAAGUUCCGACCCGCACGAAAGGUGUAACGAUUUGGGCACUGUCUCAACGAGGGACCCGGUGAAAUUGAAAUACCUGUGAAGAUGCAGGUUACCCGCGACUGGACAGAAAGACCCCAUGGAGCUUUACUGUAACCUGACAUUGGGUUUUGAUACAUUACGUACAGGAUAGGUGGGAGGCUUGGAAAGUUGGACGCUAGUCUGACUGGAGCCGACGUUGGGAUACCACCCUUGAUGUAUUGAAAUUCUAACCGCGAGAGUAACGAAAUCCGGGACAGUGUCAGGCGGGCAGUUUGACUGGGGCGGUCGCCUCCGAAAGAGUAACGGAGGCGCCCAAAGGUUCCCUCAGCGCGGCCGGAAAUCGCGCGAAGAGUGUAAAGGCAGAAGGGAGCUUGACUGCGAGUCAAACACGACGAGCAGGUACGAAAGUAGGGCUUAGUGAUCCGGUGGUACCGAGUGGAAGGGCCAUCGCUCAACGGAUAAAAGCUACCCUGGGGAUAACAGGCUAAUCUCUCCCAAGAGUCCAUAUCGACGGGGAGGUUUGGCACCUCGAUGUCGGCUCAUCACAUCCUGGGGCUGAAGUCGGUCCCAAGGG